RNAcentral lists this long non-coding RNA (1767 nucleotides) under Anas platyrhynchos platyrhynchos (common mallard). RNAcentral's name for it is "lncRNA (ENSAPLG00000029282.1)". The record is from RNAcentral. Lineage: Eukaryota; Metazoa; Chordata; Aves; Anseriformes; Anatidae.
AGGAAACAUGGCACACGGAUGAGGGAGAGCAUUAGGUCUCUGCACACGUGGAAUAGAAAGUGCAACUUCUUUGCUAAACGCUGUGUUUUGGCUACUAAUGAAGUGCAAGUUUAGACAGUAGUAGUAACAUAAUCACAGUAGUAUAUUAGUAAAUGUGAUGUGCUUUUUACAGAAGUGAUUUGUGUGGUUCCUGAGAUAGAUGGCAUGGUAGGCAAUGGGACAGACAUGCUCUGCAAUAACGCUGCAAAUGAAGCAAGUAAGGUAUGGAUGGUAUGCCUAAAUCCGUGGGUUUGGGAGGAGUUCCCUACGUGAUUGAAAUGCUAAUUCCACCUCUUAAUUUCAGUUUAAAGUAACCUGCAGCUCUGAUCAUUUUAGUGUGAUUGAUCCAAAUCAGUCUAGCAGAGUUAGCAGGUCGUAAUUAGGCUCCAUCUAAUCUUAACGCAAUCUGAUGAUCACCACCUGCAGGAGGGCUGAUGGCCCUUCAAAGGAGGCAGCCCAGGAGGCUCAUGCUUCUUCUAAGUGGGGUGCUGGUAGCUCCUGAGAGCUCCUAGCUGUGUGGUGAGUAAGCAUGUUAAUGCACAGUGCAGAGACUGUAAAGCAACUGGCUCAGAAUCGAGUCCUGAGGUCUUUACGCAGUUCUUAACCAGUCCUUGUGCAAGAGAAGAGCAUCUUGGGUGCAGAUAUUACAGAAGCCUGCAAACCUGAAGAACACCAAGAGAGUGAACACAGGACCUGCACCCAUCGCAGCGUUCAGCUGCCAGACCUUCACAUCCCAGGAUGGCCCCUGUAAUAGCUGCACACGUGGAACGAGAUUUACUCAGUGAAUGGUGCUGCUGAUGGAUGCUGAGCGUCGUUUGGGGACAAAGAGGUGCAGAUGUCUCGGCUGUAUGGAGCAGCAAUGGGGGGGGACAGGACUCUCGAUUAUUUGUUCAAAGUUGCCUCUGCAGUGGACGGUCUUAGGAAGCCACGGCCAGAUUGUAGCAGACUUGCUGGGUGACCUGCUGCUGCCCAUGGCCAGUACCAACGGCCAGGACAUCCAUCGUGAGCGCAGUUCCCUCCUGUGAAAUGGCUUUGCCCUUCAUCUCCAAUGCACGGAUGCAGGUGGACUGCCAGGCACCGCUCUCCAUACAGGUACAGAAGAGCGAGGUCAAAACACGGUACCAGCUCCACUUUGUGCACCUUCUCCUGGUGAGCCCUCCCAGUGCUCCUUCUGCAAGUGUUUUUUUUUUAUACCCCUGCUGGGGGUUAUAAAAAAUGCAUUUUUCUUGGCUUAAAAAAGUAAAUUUAGGCACUACUUUUUGUGUUUUAAGACUCUAAGAAAUAUGUGUACUUUGAUUUAAAAAUGCCAUUGUGUCACAAUUUAUGCCCCCUUGAGCCUAGCUCUUUAUGAGUUUUUCAUACUGGAAUAUUGCUGUUAUUUAUUAAAUCCCUGAUAAAGCUGCACUUAAUACUCCCAUAAUAGAAUAUGCAUCUUUAAAUCUGCUGAAUAUGUGGUUUGUCACUGAUGCAAAGUGUACUGAUUAAUUAAAUAAGACUUAGAGAUUCAUAAAGCAAUUGCUGCAAAAUGAAAUGUUAUUUACAUCUAAGUAUAUUAUCAAUUAUGGAAACUUAAUUUUUCCCUUACACAAUCUGUCUUGAAAUUCCACUGAUAGUGUAGUAGUCUCUGAUGAUUUAAUGAUUUAAAACUAAUUUUCAGUAUUGAGCACGCUUGCAAAAAAUCAGCAGUGUUUUUCAAAACAAAUAAAGUUGAUAUUUUGCAUAAUGGCA